This 442-nucleotide ribosomal RNA is filed under the name uncultured bacterium. RNAcentral's name for it is "partial 16S ribosomal RNA". It matches the Rfam family "Bacterial small subunit ribosomal RNA", at positions 339 to 795 of the family's 1533-position model. The record is from RNAcentral.
CUACGGGAUGCUCCAGUGGGGAAUAUUGCACAAUGGGGGAAACCCUGAUGCAGCAACGCCGUGUGAAGGAAGAAGGCUCUUGGGUUGUAAACUUCUUUGAAUGGGGACGAAACAAAUGACGGUACCCAUAAAACAAGCCACGGCUAACUACGUGCCAGCAGCCGCGGUAAUACGUAGGUGGCAAGCGUUAUCCGGAAUUACUGGGUGUAAAGGGCGUGUAGGCGGGAGAGCAAGUCAGAUGUGAAAUGCCAAGGCUUAACCAUGGAACUGCAUCUGAAACUGUUUUUCUUGAGUACUGGAGAGGAAAGUGGAAUUCCUAGUGUAGCGGUGAAAUGCGUAGAGAUUAGGAGGAACACCAGUGGCGAAGGCGGCUUUCUGGACAGUAACUGACGCUGAGGCGCGAAAGCGUGGGGAGCAAACAGGAUUAGAUACCCCCGUAGUC